Molecule: long non-coding RNA, 266 nt
Filed under: Lathyrus oleraceus (garden pea)
Lineage: Eukaryota; Viridiplantae; Streptophyta; Magnoliopsida; Fabales; Fabaceae
Description: Pisum sativum (pea) long non-coding RNA (PSAT_LNC006509)
Source: RNAcentral
AAAAUUAUAAUAAAUAAAUAAAUAAAAUAUAACAGAAAAAAAUCUUGGACUUGGACCUCUCUCUUUUGAGCCCACAAAGUCACAAAAAUCAGGUUAUAAAUUCUAGACUACCAUCUCCCAAAAAACCCUGGGAAAAAGAUAGUGAGAGAAUAGCUAACAGAGUUCAGAGCAACCUCCAGAGACUGAAGGGAACUCAUCUGCAAAGAACCAAUUCCCUCUCAUAUAAACCCUAAGAUUGCUUUCCAAACCCAACGGUGCCAUUCAAU